GUGUUUUACUUAACUACUUCUAGUGGACUAAAAACACUUUUCAUUCUCCAAAAGUGAUUCCAAACCUACCGUAACAAAUAGGAUAUACUCCUAUUUUGAUAUGAGAUAUGUACAAAGUUAAAGGUCUCAAGGGUUUGCCUCAAAUAAGUUUAGAAAUAGGCAUGGUACUGGAGAAAAUGUGAAAGUAGGGGACAUGGUUGUUGUAUAUGUUGCCUAUUU
Molecule: unclassified non-coding RNA, 219 nt
Filed under: Hevea brasiliensis (rubber tree)
Lineage: Eukaryota; Viridiplantae; Streptophyta; Magnoliopsida; Malpighiales; Euphorbiaceae
Source: RNAcentral